Dromaius novaehollandiae (emu) is the source of this 719-nucleotide long non-coding RNA. RefSeq lists it as uncharacterized. The record is from RefSeq and is a predicted model, not a curated record. NCBI's taxonomy places the organism in Eukaryota, Metazoa, Chordata, Aves, Casuariiformes, Dromaiidae. The transcript has 3 exons.
AUGCAAUAUUGACCGCUUUCCCAGAGCGAUUUCCUGUUGCCAAUUCCAUGACUAAGGGCUACAACUUGAAAAGAGGAGGGACUUCUGGGCCAAAGAUUGCAUUGCAAGCCGUUGAGUCCUGGGGCUUAAUGAGGUACUGCUUAUCAGCAGAGCAUGCUUAUCUGGAGCACGCUGAUGGAGUACCUGCUCCAGCCCCAUCGUGAGCGAACAUGUUUUACCACCCAGCUGCAAGGAGCUUGGAGCGUCCGCGCGGUCAAACAGCAAGGCUCAGCUGAUGCAUGGUGUCGGACUGCAAAAGAAGUGCCCACUUUGGAGACCUGUUUCUAUUGAGAGCCAUCGCUCCAGCAGGAAACCUUCUGGAGAUGAUCCUUCUUCUCCGGACCUAUGUGAUAAAGCAACUCUCUCUAUGCUGGCGUGAGCUGUGAGGGUUGGUAUCCAGCGUUACGCAGCGGCUAGCGCCCCGCUCCUCGGAGGAUACGCGCCGAGGCCGGCGUGCACCUGGGCCCAGGCAGUCGGGUAAGGCGCUCGCAGGGUGGGGACUGGAUUCCUUCCCGACCCCGUCGGCAAACGGCUCCUGCCCCGAAGCGGCGCGUUCCAUUAGCCUUAUCUCCACGCACAAAGCAAAGCUAUAAAUGUUAUUGGCCAUGAAGUUAUUCAGCCCCUUCAAAGUUGCACAUAUGCAAAAUAUGCUGUACUUCUAAAAAUGGGAGCUGCUUUAC